RNAcentral lists this transfer RNA (88 nucleotides) under Candidatus Yonathbacteria bacterium RIFOXYC1_FULL_52_10. RNAcentral describes it as "tRNA-Ser". It matches the Rfam family "tRNA". Rfam says of the family: Transfer RNA (tRNA) molecules are approximately 80 nucleotides in length. Their secondary structure includes four short double-helical elements and three loops (D, anti-codon, and T loops). The record is from RNAcentral. RNAcentral also lists the same sequence under 1 other name. Lineage: Bacteria; Candidatus Yonathiibacteriota.
GGAGGCGUCGCAUAGCGGUCUAGUGCGCACGCUUGGAAAGCGUGUGUGGGUCACACCACCGAGAGUUCGAAUCUCUCCGCCUCCGCAA